This 107-nucleotide ribosomal RNA is filed under the name Periophthalmus magnuspinnatus. The record is from RNAcentral. Lineage: Eukaryota; Metazoa; Chordata; Actinopteri; Gobiiformes; Gobiidae.
UUUUGUAGCUUUCAUGCUCAAUCUUGUCUGGUCUCAGAAGCUAAGCAGGGUUGUGUCUGGUUAGUACUUGGAUGGGAGGCCACUGGGAAUACCAGGUGCCACACAGG